This 1464-nucleotide ribosomal RNA is filed under the name uncultured marine bacterium. RNAcentral's name for it is "16S ribosomal RNA". It matches the Rfam family "Bacterial small subunit ribosomal RNA". The record is from RNAcentral.
AAUGAACGCUGGCGGCACGCUUAACACAUGCAAGUCGAACGAGAUCUUCGGAUCUAGUGGCAGACGGGUGAGUAACGCGUGGGAACCUGCCCUUUAGUAGAGAAUAACUCGGGGAAACUCGAGCUAAUACUUUAUACGCCCUUCGGGGGAAAGCUUUAUGCGCUAUAGGAUGGGCCCGCGUUAGAUUAGUUUGUUGGUGAGGUAACGGCUCACCAAGGCUACGAUCUAUAGCUGGUCUGAGAGGAUGAUCAGCCACACUGGGACUGAGACACGGCCCAGACUCCUACGGGAGGCAGCAGUGGGGAAUAUUGGACAAUGGGGGCAACCCUGAUCCAGCGAUGCCGCGUGAGUGAUGAAGGCCCUAGGGUUGUAAAGCUCUUUUGUCAGGGAAGAUAAUGACGGUACCUGAAGAAUAAGAUCCGGCUAACUCCGUGCCAGCAGCCGCGGUAAUACGGAGGGAUCUAGCGUUAUUCGGAAUUACUGGGCGUAAAGCGAGCGUAGGCUGAUUUGUAAGUUGGAUGUGAAAUCCCAGAGCUUAACUCUGGAACUGCAUCCAAAACUACAUUUCUUGAGUUUGGUAGAGGAGAGUGGAAUUCCUAGUGUAGAGGUGAAAUUCGUAGAUAUUAGGAGGAACACCAGUGGCGAAGGCGACUCUCUGGGCCAAUACUGACGCUGAGGUUCGAAAGCGUGGGUAGCGAACAGGAUUAGAUACCCUGGUAGUCCACGCAGUAAACGAUGAAUGCUAGAUGUUGGAAACAUUAGUUUUCAGUAUCGCAGCUAACGCAUUAAGCAUUCCGCCUGGGAAGUACGGCCGCAAGGCUAAAACUCAAAUGAAUUGACGGGGACCCGCACAAGCGGUGGAUCAUGUGGUUUAAUUCGAAGCAACGCGAAGAACCUUACCGGCCCUUGACAUACCAAUCGCGAACUUAAGAGAUUAAGUUCUUCACUUCGGGUGGAUUGGAUACAGGUGCUGCAUGGCUGUCGUCAGCUCGUGUCGUGAGAUGUUGGGUUAAGUCCCGCAACGAGCGCAACCCUUACCUUCAAUUGCCAGCACGUUAUGGUGGGAACUUUGAAGGAACUGCCGGUGAUAAGCCGGAGGAAGGUGGGGAUGACGUCAAGUCCUCAUGGCCCUUACGGGCCGGGCUACACACGUGAUACAAUGGUAACUACAAAGAGCAGCGAUGGAGCAAUCUUCAGCAAAUCUUCAAAAGUUACCUCAGUUCGGAUUGUACUCUGCAACUCGAGUACAUGAAGUUGGAAUCGCUAGUAAUCGUAGAUCAGCGCGCUACGGUGAAUACGUUCCCGGGUCUUGCACACACCGCCCGUCACACCAUGGGAGUUGGUUUUACCUGAAGCUGGUUUGCUAACCGUAAGGAGGCAGCCAACCACGGUAGGAUUAGCGACUGGGGUGAAGUCGUAACAAGGUAACCGUAGGGGAACCUGCGGUUGGAUCACCUCCUUUCU